UUUAAUUUCUUCUCCAAGAUGGCCAUGGUAGACAUCUACAACCCACCAUCUACAAAACGAACCUAGCUACCUACAAGGAAGGGUAUCGAUCAAUCAACUGCCAAGCAAACUAGUGGAUAUUAGUCACUAAUUGUUUCUUAAAGGAAGAAACUCAAAAAACUGGUUGGAGGUGAUUUCAGUGUCCAUAGAAGCACUAGCACAGAGCAUAGAUGAUGAUUUCCUCUCAGCAAGAGAAAUUCCAUCUUGGUCAUCCCUCUUGUGUGGAAAUAGGUCAAGGGUUCGAGAAUCUGCAUUUUCAUCACCACCAUAGUAGUUUAAACUUUCUCUGUUGAUGAGUGAAGAUGAUAAAUUAUUAUAGUUUUGAGGGGAUAAAAGUUGUGUGUUAUGUGUUGUUGUUCUGUGUGAAGUUGUAGUAGGAGCUGCUAUAGUAAUAGGAAGGAAACAAGGCAUUUCCAUUUCUUGCAACUUAGCUUGUUUUUCUGAUAUGUUUCUCCUUAAAACUUGUAUGCUGCCUCUCUCCUCAAACUGAGUCCACCCAUUAGAUCCCUUUUCUGCUAUAUCCAGUGCAGAUUCCUGAUAAAAAAUACGGAUAGUAAAAAGUUGGCAGUAAAAAAGAAAUUUAAAAUUAAAACAUGAAAAAAAAAAAAGAGAUAGGAUAGAGAGAGAAAAAUGGGGGAGGGGAGAAUUCAGAAUUCAGAAAUCACAUUCAAUUCAGAAGUCCAAGAAAAGUGUGAACUGAUAUAGCACAAAACAGUCCCAACAGAAAGUUAAAAAAAAAAACAGC
This is a long non-coding RNA of Glycine soja, 784 nucleotides long. RefSeq lists it as uncharacterized. The record is from RefSeq and is a predicted model, not a curated record. NCBI's taxonomy places the organism in Eukaryota, Viridiplantae, Streptophyta, Magnoliopsida, Fabales, Fabaceae. The transcript has 2 exons.